CCCUGGGGGAUCAGGGCUCAGGUGGGACAUCAGCCCAGCCUGCAGGGGGUGGGCGGGGGGGGGAGUUUUUGGCCACACCUGCAGGCUAGCCCUGAAAAGGAGCUGCAAAGCCCAGCCUGAGAGGCUAUGAAGCUGAAGGAGUAAGAGAGGGGUGGUGGUGCUAGCUGCUGCUGCUGCUGCUGCUGCCUGGGUGGAGUAGCUGAAAAACAGUGUGCAAGAAGGAAGAGAAGAAGUUCAAGCCCCAGAUUGCCUUUGGGCCUGGCACCGAGGGAAUGCUGAUUAGGGAGGGCUGUUUAUUGUAAUACCGAUGGAGAAUGACAAUGAAGCUCCUGUUAGAAACGUCCUGCCUGGAGAACGACGAUUGUGAGAGCAGUGAAGGUUAAACGCUGAUAACUGUAUUGGCGAGUCAGUACAAUAAAUCUAAGUGUGCCACCUGCAUCCCGGGAGGUCUUCAAGAUGGGGCUGGCUAAAGCCCUGAGCAGCCUGGUGGGAUGCAGUGACUGUCCCUGCCUCGAGCAGGAGGUGGGCGUAACAGACCACAGGUGAACCGUGCUGCUUGGAAGGGUGAAGCACGGUGGCCAUCUCCUCUUGGUUUUGGUUUUUGGCUGUGCGGAAGUAUAUCAGCAAAUAGAGAACCAGGGAGUGUUUUUUUUUUUUGUGGAAUGAUGCCCAAAAUUGCUGGCUGUGUCCCCUGGUUCCUGCCCAUCACCUCUGGCUGCAUCGCAUCAGCCUGGUGCUGCUGCCACACAAACAUCCGUUUGCCUGCAUUCACAGAAAGUUAAAGAGCAAAUUGUAUUACACUCAAAUAAUGUUUUCUAAAAAUUGCUGAUAGUUUCCUGCAGUCAAGUAAAAUACAUGUACUCUUUUUUUAAACUUGAGAUUUUUCUUUCCAUAUGGGCCCAAAGUUCCCAAAAGGUGUUGGAGUAAUGCAGCUGCGAGCUGAGGCCCCCCUGCUCUGCCUGUGGGAGCAGACCAGACCUGCUGCUCUGAUGCUUGUAGCAAGUGGAAGAAUUAAGUACAAAUGUGGAGGACAGAAACAAUUUGUCACACACUUAGAGCCUCGGCUUUCAAAAAGUGGUGCAACACAGUGCAGAAUCAGGGUCAACCACUGUUGCUGCUUUUUAAUAUCAGUAGAGAAAUGACUUUGCACUCACCACAUCGAGAAGAUUGUAAAGUUCAGAAAGUACCACCUGCUCUCUUAAAUGGGCAGGGAUAAGAAGUGAUGCUGGAAGAAAGGUAAAAGUGGUAGGAUAAGAUAUGAAAUGUAAUAGGGAAUGCAAGUAGUUGCCAGCAAAACACCAAAAGGCAUCCUCAGUUUGUAAAGCUGUAAAUACCACUGCUGUGAUCGGCUUCUGGGAAAACACAGCAGAACAGGCCGUGUACUUGACCGCUGAAGAUGUCAAGAUGUUGAACGUGA
RNAcentral lists this long non-coding RNA (1417 nucleotides) under Anser brachyrhynchus (Pink-footed goose). RNAcentral's name for it is "lncRNA (ENSABRG00000005172.1)". Lineage: Eukaryota; Metazoa; Chordata; Aves; Anseriformes; Anatidae. The record is from RNAcentral.